This 1150-nucleotide long non-coding RNA is filed under the name Homo sapiens (human). RNAcentral describes it as "HSALNT0293232". The record is from RNAcentral. Lineage: Eukaryota; Metazoa; Chordata; Mammalia; Primates; Hominidae.
GUAGAGGUCACCAGCAUAGGUCAGAGGGGAUAUUGUAUGUAACUGGUGACAUUUGAAAGAGACAUAUUGGACAGAAAUGACAUACGUGAAAGCUAAGAUACAAUAUAUUUAAUUUUCUAAGAAUUCAGUUCAAGGUAGUCUGCCUGGUUUCUCAAGUUCUGCAUGUUUCUUCAGUAGACUAAAUAAUGAUAAGGAAGCUGAGAUGUAGAGCUGAAGUGUCUUGCCCAAGAUCAUUUGUCUACCUAUGACCUGGCUCAACCCAGCUACAAGUUGUUAAUAAGAGGGAAGCAUAUCAGGAAAAUCUGAGUGCAAUGGUUUAGGAAUUGGGAAAGUAUAAAAGGUAUAGCACAACAGCACUAGACAACUGAGGUAGUCACCUACCUAAGGAGAGAUGCCAAGGACAAGUUGGCCAGCUAAACACUUUCUCCAGAAAUGGGAUUUAUAGGUCACCAGUUCAGCUUUGCAGAUAGGCUAUGAAGUUGAUGGAUAUCUCUGAUUGGGCACCCCAGCUGGUAGGAACACAGCUGCAGCUCCUGUUCCACUUCCUUUCUUGUACUGCUGAACAUCCAGAUAGAGGCAUUGACAUGCAUGGUUUCCAACUGAUCACUUCCUACUCCCUUAAGGACCUCCUGUCAGGCAGUUUUGCUAAUUUCUUUAAUAUCAGAAGACAGCUGGAUUCUCAUUUCUGCUUCUGCAUUCAGUCUAUUGUGAUAUAGCAUAUCAUGUAACUUCUGAAAAACUUCACUGUACACAGAUGCUGACCUCACAGACUCCCUGAAAGGAUCUCCAUGACCUCUAUGGUUCCUUAGACUGCACUUUGAGAACUAUUGACGUACAGGGAAAAAUGCUCUUGGUGUUCCAGUUAAGCACAGAAUAAAAUCUGGACUGUGUCAGUUUGUAAAGAUCUUAUGUCUACUUGGUCAUCAGCCAAGAAGGGAUUCCGAAGAUAGAAGAGGAGGCAUCAACACCGUGAACAUCAUGGCUGAGUUAUUUUGUGAGAGGGAUAAGCCUAAAGUAAAAACCUUGGAUUUGCCUCUGUCCUUGAACAUGCUAUCUGGAAAGAGUUUUCUUAAAAGUAUUGUUGUGAACACAUCCAUUUUCCCAGUAUAGUUGAAUGCAGGGUUUAAUAAAUGGAAUGAAUCUAGUUUUA